RNAcentral lists this ribosomal RNA (216 nucleotides) under Glomeromycotina sp. RNAcentral describes it as "partial small subunit ribosomal RNA". The stretch from base 40 to 216 matches the Rfam family "Eukaryotic small subunit ribosomal RNA", at positions 686 to 864 of the family's 1831-position model. Lineage: Eukaryota; Fungi; Glomeromycota. The record is from RNAcentral.
GGGUCAUUAGGCUGGUCGUGCCACCGGUACGUACUCGUCUCACUGAUUCCUCCUUCCUGAAGAACCGUAAUGCCAUUAAUUUGGAGUUGCGGGGAAACAGGACUGUUACUUUGAAAAAAUUAGAGUGUUUAAAGCAAUCUAACGCUUGAAUACAUUAGCAUGGAAUAAUGAAAUAGGACGAUCGAUCCUAUUCUGUUGGUUUCUAGGAUUGACGUA